AGUGAACGCUGGCGGUAGGCCUAACACAUGCAAGUCGAACGGCAACACAGUAAGAGCUUGCUCUUACGGGUGGCGAGUGGCGGACGGGUGAGGAAUACAUCGGAAUCUACUAUUUCGUGGGGGAUAACGUAGGGACACUUACGCUAAUACCUCAUACGACCUACGGGUGAAAGCAGGGGAUAUUCGCACCUUGCGCGAUUGAAUUAGCCGAUGUCGGAUUAGCUAGUUGGCGGGGUAAAGGCCCACCAAGGCGACGAUCCGUAGCUGGUCUGAGAGGAUGAUCAGCCACACUGGAACUGAGACACGGUCCAGACUCCUACGGGAGGCAGCAGUGGGGAAUAUUGGGCAAUGGGCGCAAGCCUGAUCCAGCCACGCCGCGUGGGUGAAGAAGGCCUUCGGGUCGUAAAGCCCUGUUGUUGGGAAAGAAAAGCAGCAGGUUAAUACCCCGAUGUUCUGACGGUACCCAAAGAAUAAGCAACGGCUAACUACGUG
RNAcentral lists this ribosomal RNA (492 nucleotides) under uncultured bacterium. Its description in RNAcentral is "partial 16S ribosomal RNA". It matches the Rfam family "Bacterial small subunit ribosomal RNA", at positions 29 to 507 of the family's 1533-position model. The record is from RNAcentral.